This 253-nucleotide ribosomal RNA is filed under the name uncultured bacterium. Its description in RNAcentral is "partial 16S ribosomal RNA". It matches the Rfam family "Bacterial small subunit ribosomal RNA", at positions 524 to 776 of the family's 1533-position model. The record is from RNAcentral.
UACGUAGGGGGCAAGCGUUGUCCGGAAUUAUUGGGCGUAAAGGGCUCGUAGGCGGUUUGUCGCGUCGGGAGUGAAAACCUUGGGCUUAACUCAGGGCUUGCUUUCGAUACGGGCAGACUAGAGGUAUGCAGGGGAGAACGGAAUUCCUGGUGUAGCGGUGAAAUGCGCAGAUAUCAGGAGGAACACCGGUGGCGAAGGCGGUUCUCUGGGCAUGAUCUGACGCUGAGGAGCGAAAGUGUGGGGAGCGAACAGG